GCUGAGGUGCCCUCGCAAAUUUCUUUCUGACAGUCCUGGUGAAAGGUGUACCCUCUGGACCCUCCUUGGGUUAUGUCAAGUAAUUUUCAUCUUUUCCAAAAUGAAUAAUUGAAAUGGGAACAUGUGAGAAGACCCCGAUGAAACUGGGAGCAUUGAACCCCUGAAUUCUGCUGAGUGUUCUUUGCAGUAAAAGACCCCUUCUCUACAGCCUUAUGGAGAGUUCCUUACAGUUUACUGAGGAAGAGAAAACUCAGGCCUGAUUUAUAGAUGAUCCUGCCCAAUAUGUAAUACAACCCACAAGUGGACAACUACACAAGACAGUCCCUUCUGGGACACCCUGAAGGACAGCAGUGAAGGAGAAUUAACUUUUCCAACCAGAAAUCAACAUCCUGAAGGGCCAGGAUCAGAGGCCAUCAAAGGUUUAUUACCAGCCAGAUUAUUAUCAAGGAGCAGAGACAAUAAUUAUUACAUUGUUGACAAACAGAUACAUUUUUGCUUUCUGGUCCCUUCAUGUUGUACUCAGGAUUAGUAUUUUUAGGAAGAUUAGAGAAUACUUUGCAGAAUACCUUAAGUGAUAAAAAGUCACUAGGGAGUAUAUUUGCAGCUCAGCAUGUGGGACCAAAGAAGUUCAGCUCAUUGCCUGAUCUAAAAAUAAUCAUCCUUGAUGUAGAAUCCUGUUAGGUUCAGAAAUGUAACAUAUAAGCUAAAAUAUUUCUACCUAUCUCAGAAGUCCCAAUUAUACAAAUUUAUAUCUGCAGAUCUCAUAGUCUAAAAUCUGAUGCAUCUCUCUCCAGCUCUCUCCAUGUACUUUGAAUAAAGAAUAUAUAUAUUCUCUGAAUCUCUAGAUCUCCUUCUCAAAA
This 860-nucleotide long non-coding RNA is filed under the name Homo sapiens (human). RNAcentral's name for it is "HSALNT0376371". Lineage: Eukaryota; Metazoa; Chordata; Mammalia; Primates; Hominidae. The record is from RNAcentral.